GGUGUGUGUGCUGCAGCUGGUGUUGUGAAUCAGGCCGAUGUCACACGUCCGCGAUAACCCGGCUAUUUCACAACACCAGGGUGGCACCACACC
This is a microRNA precursor of Sinocyclocheilus rhinocerous, 93 nucleotides long. The record is from Ensembl. Lineage: Eukaryota; Metazoa; Chordata; Actinopteri; Cypriniformes; Cyprinidae.